UGGUAUGAUGAAUGCCCAAAGUCAAAUCUGAAGAGACUCGCCCGAAGGCUGUCUGGCCCUGAGACCCACCCGUAGGCUGUCUGGCCGGUGCCGAGCCUAAUGGCCCCGUGGUAGUCAACAUCCCCACUCUAGGAAUGAGCCUUUCCCACGGCAAUCCACUUCGGCGCCCAAUCUCGCACAGCGAAUAUGUAUCGCGAUGGCCAUCUCCGGAGUGCCGGCUUGUAGGGAGCGACCCUCACAA
RNAcentral lists this long non-coding RNA (241 nucleotides) under Ananas comosus (pineapple). RNAcentral's name for it is "long non-coding RNA (ACOM_LNC003689)". The record is from RNAcentral. Lineage: Eukaryota; Viridiplantae; Streptophyta; Magnoliopsida; Poales; Bromeliaceae.